RNAcentral lists this ribosomal RNA (253 nucleotides) under uncultured bacterium. Its description in RNAcentral is "partial 16S ribosomal RNA". It matches the Rfam family "Bacterial small subunit ribosomal RNA", at positions 524 to 776 of the family's 1533-position model. The record is from RNAcentral.
CACGGGGGGAGCAAGCGUUGUUCGGAAUCACUGGGCGUAAAGGGCGUGUAGGCGGUCAAGUAAGUGGAAUGUGAAAGCCCCCGGCUUACCCGGGGAUCUGCAUCCCAAACUGCUUGGCUUGAGUACGGGAGAGGAUAGGGGAAUUCCUGGUGUAGCGGUGAAAUGCGUAGAUAUCGGGAGGAACACCGGUGGCGAAGGCGGUUCUCUGGGCCUUACCUGACGCUGAGGAGCGAAAGCGUGGGGAGCGAACAGG